ACUGGCCCGCAGGCCCCCCUUCCAGCGCCAGGGCACGCUGGAGCAGCUGCAGUUCAUCCCCGGCCAUCACCUGCCCCAACACCUCCGCACGGCCAGCAAAAACGAGGUGACUGUCUGAGUGUCCAAGGCCGGGCUGGGGGCUGGGGCGCUGUGGCCUGCGGCCCCCAUCCCAGCCUGCACCCCCUGCCACACCCGGCUGGCGGGCCUGGAAUCCAGACCUGCGGGGGCCAGGAGGGCUACCUCCAAGGACAUGGUUUUGGACGAAAUACUCACGAGAGAAAAAGUUUCCUUCUGCAAUGUCAUGGCAGAUAAGAUCCUCAUCCUGACACAGUCUGAAGCAGGGCCUCCUUCCCAUGACGUCAUCACAGAGGAAGAGGCCUGUAUGUGAGGUCAUCAGUAGCAAAAAACGUCUGUGUUCAUCACAGGGACAAACCCUGCUUCCCAUGAGGUCAUCGAAGAGGAACAGGCCCACUACAGUCAUCGCUGGAGGCCGUGUCUGUGCUCCACAGUGUCAUCACGAAGACCUCCCUCCAGUGACGUCGUAAGAGGAGCAAUGCCUUGUCCCAUGACAUCGUCCCGAGAGACAAGGAGCCCUCCUGUGACGUCACUACACAGAUAAGUCUCACCCUCUGAUGUUGUCUCUGGCACCAAAGGCCUCUGUGGACCUCCUCGUCACCAGGAAAAUAUUUUCUUCCAAAGAAGAUGCCUCUGUCUAUGAAGCCGUGCCUGCGGACAAAGCCAUCUUCCCGGGACGUGCCACAGGGAAAAAAGCCUUGCAUCCUCACGAGACACAAGGCCUCCUUUCUAGGACGUCACCACGGGGGCUCUGCUUCCUUCCUGUGACACCAUCGCCAGAGGAGCUGGCUUGCCCUGUGAUGUCAUCCCCGAAGACGGGCAGCCCGCUUGGGACUUCUCCGGGGUGAGGCCCUUCUGCACCACAGCACCAGACUCUGCCUGUGCAGAGAUUAUGUCCCCGUGAGACACGUCCACUGCGAUGGCCCAGCAUCCACAAGGUGGGCCGCCCAGAGCCCAUGACUAACCUGGGGGCCGCCAAGGAAGGGACCGGUCCUGAGAUGCUACCCCGGGUGUCAUUGCUGGGGCGGCUGCCCUGUGGGGAAGCUGCGGCCAGAGGUGACAGCCUGCCCCUGGGGCCCCGGAGCUGUGACGUCACCACCGGAGACACUGCCUGCUCUGGAAGGCCAUUCCUUGUG
Molecule: long non-coding RNA, 1211 nt
Filed under: Capra hircus (goat)
Lineage: Eukaryota; Metazoa; Chordata; Mammalia; Artiodactyla; Bovidae
Description: lncRNA (ENSCHIG00010019931.1)
Source: RNAcentral